UGCUUAACACAUGCAAGUCGAGCGGUAAGGCCCUUCGGGGUACACGAGCGGCGAACGGGUGAGUAACACGUGGGUGAUCUGCCCUGUACUUCGGGAUAAGCCUGGGAAACUGGGUCUAAUACCGGAUAUGACCUUACAUCGCAUGGUGUUUGGUGGAAAGAUUUAUCGGUACAGGAUGGGCCCGCGGCCUAUCAGCUUGUUGGUGGGGUAAUGGCCUACCAAGGCGACGACGGGUAGCCGGCCUGAGAGGGCGACCGGCCACACUGGGACUGAGACACGGCCCAGACUCCUACGGGAGGCAGCAGUGGGGAAUAUUGCACAAUGGGCGAAAGCCUGAUGCAGCGACGCCGCGUGAGGGAUGACGGCCUUCGGGUUGUAAACCUCUUUCGACAGGGACGAAGCGCAAGUGACGGUACCUGUAGAAGAAGCACCGGCCAACUACGUGCCAGCAGCCGCGGUAAUACGUAGGGUGCGAGCGUUGUCCGGAAUUACUGGGCGUAAAGAGCUUGUAGGCGGUUUGUCGCGUCGUCCGUGAAAACUUGGGGCUCAACCCCAAGCUUGCGGGCGAUACGGGCAGACUUGAGUACUGCAGGGGAGACUGGAAUUCCUGGUGUAGCGGUGAAAUGCGCAGAUAUCAGGAGGAACACCGGUGGCGAAGGCGGGUCUCUGGGCAGUAACUGACGCUGAGAAGCGAAAGCGUGGGUAGCGAACAGGAUUAGAUACCCUGGUAGUCCACGCCGUAAACGGUGGGCGCUAGGUGUGGGUUUCCUUCCA
Molecule: ribosomal RNA, 774 nt
Filed under: Nocardia farcinica
Lineage: Bacteria; Bacillati; Actinomycetota; Actinomycetes; Mycobacteriales; Nocardiaceae
Description: bacterial SSU rRNA
Rfam family: Bacterial small subunit ribosomal RNA
Source: RNAcentral